GGCUGCAGAAUUUAUAACUGUACAAAGGUAGCAUAAUAAUUUGUUUUUUAAUUAAAAACUAGAAUGAAUGAUUAAAUGAAAUAUAAACUGUUUCAAUUAAAAUAAUAUUAAAAUUUUUAUUUAAGUUAAAAAACUUAAAUAUAUUUAAAAGACGACAAGACCCUAUAGAAUUUUAUUUAUAUAUUAAAUAAAAAUAUUUAUUUAUUUAUUAAAUUUAUUAUAAUAAAUUUAAUUGGGGUAAUUUUAAAAUUAAAAAAAUUUUUUUUAUAUAAAACAUUAAUUAAUGAAUAAUAUAUCUUAAAUUUUAAAUUAUUAAAAUUAAUUACCUUAGGGAUAACAGCAUAAUUUUUUUUAAAAGACCUUAUU
This 366-nucleotide ribosomal RNA is filed under the name Chorebus sp. 2 HX-2019. RNAcentral describes it as "partial large subunit ribosomal RNA". Lineage: Eukaryota; Metazoa; Arthropoda; Insecta; Hymenoptera; Braconidae. The record is from RNAcentral.